RNAcentral lists this ribosomal RNA (398 nucleotides) under uncultured bacterium. Its description in RNAcentral is "bacterial SSU rRNA". It matches the Rfam family "Bacterial small subunit ribosomal RNA", at positions 29 to 412 of the family's 1533-position model. The record is from RNAcentral.
AACGAACGCUGGCGGCGUGCCUAACACAUGCAAGUCGUGCGAGAAAGUUCCUUCGGGAGCGAGUAAAGCGGCGCACGGGUGAGUAACACGUAGGUAACCUGCCCCCCAGUCUGGAACAACUAGAGAAACUCUAGCUAAUGCCGGAUGAGACCACGAUCCCUUCGGGGGUUGCGGCCAAAGAUGGCCUCUACUUGUAAGCUAUCGCUGAGGGAUGGGCCUGCGGGCCAUUAGCUUGUUGGUGAGGUAACGGCUCACCAAGGCUGUGAUGGCUAGCUGGUCUGAGAGGAUGACCAGCCACACUGGGACUGAGACACGGCCCAGACUCCUACGGGAGGCAGCAGUGGGAAUAUUGCGCAAUGGGCGAAAGCCUGACGCAGCGACGCCGCGUGGGUGAUGAA